GAGCACCUGGUCUUCGCCGACGGGUUGGCCGAAAAGCGCGAUA
This 43-nucleotide small RNA is filed under the name Sinorhizobium meliloti 2011. RNAcentral describes it as "putative ncRNA". The record is from RNAcentral. Lineage: Bacteria; Pseudomonadati; Pseudomonadota; Alphaproteobacteria; Hyphomicrobiales; Rhizobiaceae.